CCAGACUCCUACGGGAGGCAGCAGUAGGGAAUCUUCGGCAAUGGGGGCAACCCUGACCGAGCAACGCCGCGUGAGUGAAGAAGGUUUUCGGAUCGUAAAGCUCUGUUGUAAGUCAAGAACGAGUGUGAGAGUGGAAAGUUCACACUGUGACGGUAGCUUACCAGAAAGGGACGGCUAACUACGUGCCAGCAGCCGCGGUAAUACGUAGGUCCCGAGCGUUGUCCGGAUUUAUUGGGCGUAAAGCGAGCGCAGGCGGUUUGAUAAGUCUGAAGUUAAAGGCUGUGGCUCAACCAUAGUUCGCUUUGGAAACUGUCAAACUUGAGUGCAGAAGGGGAGAGUGGAAUUCCAUGUGUAGCGGUGAAAUGCGUAGAUAUAUGGAGGAACACCGGUGGCGAAAGCGGCUCUCUGGUCUGUAACUGACGCUGAGGCUCGAAAACGUGGGGAGCGAACAGGAUUAGAUACCCUGGUAGUCCACGCCGUAAACGAUGAGUGCUAGGUGUUGGAUCCUUUCCGGGAUUCAGUGCCGCAGCUAACGCAUUAAGCACUCCGCCUGGGGAGUACGACCGCAAGGUUGAAACUCAAAGGAAUUGACGGGGCCCGCACAAG
Molecule: ribosomal RNA, 606 nt
Filed under: uncultured bacterium
Lineage: Bacteria
Description: bacterial SSU rRNA
Rfam family: Bacterial small subunit ribosomal RNA
Source: RNAcentral